This 469-nucleotide ribosomal RNA is filed under the name uncultured bacterium. RNAcentral describes it as "partial 16S ribosomal RNA". It matches the Rfam family "Bacterial small subunit ribosomal RNA", at positions 28 to 507 of the family's 1533-position model. The record is from RNAcentral.
GACGAACGCUGGCGGCGUGCUUAACACAUGCAAGUCGAACGGAAAGGCCCUGCUUGCAGGGUGCUCGAGUGGCGAACGGGUGAGUAACACGUGGGUGAUCUGCCCCUUACUUUGGGAUAAGCCUGGGAAACUGGGUCUAAUACUGGAUAGGACCAUGCUGUAGGUGGUGUGGUGGAAAGAUUAGUUUCGGUAAGGGAUGAGCUCGCGGCCUAUCAGCUUGUUGGUGGGGUAAUGGCCUACCAAGGCGUCGACGGGUAGCCGGCCUGAGAGGGUGGACGGCCACAUUGGGACUGAGAUACGGCCCAGACUCCUACGGGAGGCAGCAGUGGGGAAUAUUGCAAAAUGGGCGCAAGCCGGAUGCAGCGACGCCGCGUGGGGGAUGACGGCCUUCGGGUUGUAAACUCCGUUCAGCCAUGACGAAGCCCUUGUGGUGACGGUAGUGGUAGAAGAAGCACCGGCUAACUACGUG